Molecule: ribosomal RNA, 380 nt
Filed under: uncultured eukaryote
Lineage: Eukaryota
Description: partial 18S ribosomal RNA
Rfam family: Eukaryotic small subunit ribosomal RNA
Source: RNAcentral
CAAUAGCGCAUAUUAAAGUUGUUGCAGUUAAAAAGCUCGUAGUUGGAUUUGUGGCGUACGGUGUGUUCCGGGCACUUGUUGUCUGAGUAACCUGCUGUUGCCAUCCUUGGGUGGAACCUGUGUGGCAUUAGGUUGUCGUGCAGGGGAUGCCCAUCAUUUACUGUGAAAAAAUUAGAGUGUUCAAAGCAGGCUUAUGCCGUUGAAUAUAUUAGCAUGGAAUAAUGAGAUAGGACUUUUUUGCUAUUUUGUUGGUUUGCGCAAAGAGGUAAUGAUUAAUAGGGACAGUUGGGGGUAUUCGUAUUCCAUUGUCAGAGGUGAAAUUCUUGGAUUUUUGGAAGACGAACUACUGCGAAAGCAUUUACCAAGGAUGUUUUCAUUAA